Molecule: ribosomal RNA, 697 nt
Filed under: uncultured Iodamoeba
Lineage: Eukaryota; Evosea; Mastigamoebida; Endamoebidae
Description: bacterial SSU rRNA
Rfam family: Eukaryotic small subunit ribosomal RNA
Source: RNAcentral
GUUGAUCCUGCCAGUAUUAUAUGCUUGUGUUAAAGAUUAAGCCAUGCAUGCCUAAGUAUAGGUAGAUAAACCGAAACUGCGGAUGGCUCAUUAAAUCAGUCAUAAUUAAUUUGGUGAUGACAAUAGAAGGAUAACCCUGUUAAUUGUAGAGCUAAUACAUGAAUAACUGAUAUCGGAACCGGCGACGGUGAAGAUAGCACUUGUCAGCUCAUUUUUUCUCCCCUCGGGGAGGGAAAGGGGUAUGGAAAGUGUACCUGGGUCUAGGAAGCCAAAAGAGAAAAACCGAUCUUUGAAAGUAAUAAGGAGGCCUGGGGGACGAUCUGUGCCUUUAUAUGAGAUAUGAAUAACGACAAAUUAGCAAAUCGCAGUAAAGUACGGCUUGCCGUACGGCGAUAAACCAAACGAGAGACUGACCUAUCAAGUUGAUGGUAAGAUAGGGGCUUACCAAGCUAAUAACGGGUAACGGGGAAUUAGGGUUCGAUUCCGGACAGGGAGCCUGAGAAAUGGCUACCACUUCCAAGGAAGGCAGCAGGCGCGUAAAUUACUCGGUGCCGAUACGGCGAGGUAGUGACGACAAAUACCGAUGGCAGCCCUUUGGGUUGACGAUUGGAAUGAGUACAAUGCAAAAAUAUGUGCGAGUAACAAUUGGAGGGCAAGUCCGGUGCCAGCAGCCGCGGUAAUUCCAGCUCCAAUAGUG